RNAcentral lists this ribosomal RNA (253 nucleotides) under uncultured bacterium. RNAcentral describes it as "partial 16S ribosomal RNA". It matches the Rfam family "Bacterial small subunit ribosomal RNA", at positions 524 to 776 of the family's 1533-position model. The record is from RNAcentral.
UACGGAGGGUGCGAGCGUUGUCCGGAAUCACUGGGCGUAAAGGGCGCGUAGGUGGCCUGAUAAGUAGGGGGUGAAAUCCUGCGGCUUAACCGCAGGGCUGCCUUCUAAACUGUCAGGCUCGAGCACAGUAGAGGCAGGUGGAAUUCCCGGUGUAGCGGUGGAAUGCGUAGAUAUUCGCAAGAACACCAGUGGCGAAGGCGGCUCACUGGCCCGGUACUGACGCUGAGGUGCGAAAGCGUGGGGAGCAAACAGG